UUAUGGCCAUAUCACAUUAAAUCACUGAUUCCUGUACAAUCACCAAAGUUAAGCAACAUUGAGCCUGAUCAGCACCUAGAUGGGUGACCGCUUGGGAAUACUAGUUACCGUAAG
Molecule: non-coding RNA, 114 nt
Organism: Acanthosepion pharaonis
Lineage: Eukaryota; Metazoa; Mollusca; Cephalopoda; Sepiida; Sepiidae
Source: the annotation of a GenBank genome assembly